CCCCUCCCAGGGUCGUACCUGGAGAGUUUCCAGUAUUCUACCAGUCCCGCCUACCGGGGGGAGAGUCAAGCAGAGGCAUACCCAUUCCAUUCCUAGCUUGGAUGGUGGCUAGCGAGUGGAAGGCAAUCUGCUACAAGU
Tachyglossus aculeatus (Australian echidna) is the source of this 138-nucleotide small nucleolar RNA. NCBI's taxonomy places the organism in Eukaryota, Metazoa, Chordata, Mammalia, Monotremata, Tachyglossidae. The record is from RefSeq and is a predicted model, not a curated record.